Molecule: long non-coding RNA, 3240 nt
Filed under: Salvia miltiorrhiza (redroot sage)
Lineage: Eukaryota; Viridiplantae; Streptophyta; Magnoliopsida; Lamiales; Lamiaceae
Description: long non-coding RNA (SMIL_LNC011892)
Source: RNAcentral
AGCCAAUAGGAUCGUGCCACGUCAGCCCUAAGCCCAUAAUCAUGUGGGCUCUGGCCCAAAGCUUGACUCUUCCUACAACUAUAAAUAGGGGUCCUCAUAUCAGUUCUAAACACACACAAAUCAUUUGAGAGCUCAAGCAUUGAAGGAGUAAUUCACUAUAACGAAGUCAUCUCCAACAAUCAAGGCAUUCUUCGUGGAAGCAACCCAAAAGCUCAAGUCAAAUCCAACGCUCGAUCCAGAAAUAAGGCGUAGGCCCUCUGCAUCAACGUUAUAAAGCCCAAAGCUCAAGGUUCAAGGCGUUAUACAAGGAAGUCAACACGUUCUUCAUCAAAUUCAUCAAAGUCAACGUUUGAUUCAGAAAUAAGGUGGAAGCCCUCCGGAUUGACGUCAUCAAAUUCAAAUUCAAGUUCAAGCCAUCAAAUCAAAUCCAAGGAGAUCAAGAAGGCGUACUUCCCUCCAAAGAUUGCAAGAAACAUAUCAAAAGCAAAUUCAAGUCAAGUCAUCAAUCAAAUCAAAUCCAAGGAGAUCAAGAAGGCGUACUUCCCUCCAAAGAUUUCAAGUAACAUUUGAAGAGGAUAAUCAGAGGAUCAAGUGGAGAUUCGCAACCCGCAACAAAUUCAUCUCAAUCCAUAUAUUUUGGAUUUGUACACAUUUUUGUAUUUCAUUAAAUUGAAUACAAUAAAAUUUGUGUUUACAAAUUUUGGCACGCCCGGUGGGACAUCUCUACCUCUCAUCUCUCCUCUUCACCAACAACAACUCAAGCAAAUUCAAAUGGAGAACAAAGCUUCAAGUGCUGCCCUAAACAUCACUUUGGAGAACAUUGGUGUUAUCACUCGAGGCAAAGCUAUGCAAUUGGAGGAGAUUUUCAAGUCUGCUUCAGCAAUGGAAGAGCAUUCAACCGCGAGCUACUAUCUUGAAGCUCCUGUCAUGGUGACAAACGCUUCUACUCUGGAGGAACAAGUUGCUAGCAUAGCUAAGCUUCUUGAAAGCAUGAACAAGCGUAUAUUGGAGCAAGACGCCAAGAUCUCAAAGCUCAUCUUAGAGAAAGGAGAAGGAAGUCGAGUGAAUGACGAAAAAGAUGAAAAAAGCGAUGAUUCAGAGUCAUUCGAGAAGCACCAUGAAGAAAAGACGCCUCCUAAGAACAUCGAAGUCUCUGCCGAUGGCUUCAUUCACAUCAAUCAACUCAAAGACUUCAUCAUGGGAACGGUCAAAGACAAGUUCGAAGGGACCUCGAAAUCAGCAUGGACUUAUAGCAAGCCAUAUACUACAAGGAUUGACUCCUUGAAGAUGCCAAUAGGCUACCAGCCUCCAAAGUUUCAACAAUUUGAUGGCAAAGGCAAUCCAAAGCAACAUGUGGCUCACUUUAUGGAGACAUGCAAUGAUGCGGGAACAUAUGGAGAUUACUUGGUGAAGCAAUUUGUUCGUUCCUUGAAAGACAAUGCAUUUGAUUGGUAUGUCAACUUGGAGCCAAAUUCCAUCGAUAGUUGGGGGCAAAUGCAAAAGGAGUUCCUCAAUCGCUUCUAUAGCACUCGAAGAACAGUGAGCAUAGUUGAGCUUACAAACUCAAAACAAUGGAAAGAAGAGUCAGUCAUCGACUACAUCAACCGAUGGAGGGACUUGAGCUUAAAUUGUAAAGAUCGACUAUCUGAAGCUUCAGCAAUCGAGAUGUGCAUUCAAGGCAUGCAUUGGAGCCUUCAAUACAUCUUAAAAGGAAUUCGACCAAAUACGUUUGAAGAAUUGACUACUAGAGCUCAUGACAUGGAGUUAAGCAUGAUCGCAAAUAAAGUUGAUGAUCUACACAUGCAAAUGUCAGACGACUUUCAAGAAGACGAAGAAGCAAGUCAUGGGGGCAAAUCUCUUGAAGAAAUCCCAAGUGAAGAUGAUGAAGAAAUCCCAAGUGAAGAUGAUGAAGAAACUUCAAAUGUAACCACAAGCCAAUCUUCAAGUUGAAAUUCAUAAAGUCAAAUGCUCCUUGGUAAGAGCCUAAACUAUCAAUUAUGCUCCUUGAGAAGAGCCUAAACUAUCAACGAAGCUCCUAGACAUGAGCAAAAUGAUCAUUCAAGUUGAAUACUCCUUGACACGAGUAUAAAAUAUCUACAAUAAUCAUUCAAGUUGAAGACUCCUUGACACGAGUAUAAAAUGUCUACAAACUCAAAUUCAAGUUGAAGACUCCUUGACAUGAGUAUAAAAUGUCUACAAAUUCAAAUUCAAGUUGCAUACUCCUUGACACGAGUAUAAAAUGUCUACAAAUUCAAAUUCAAGUGAAGACUCCUUGACACGAGUAUAAAAUAUCUACAAAUUCAAGUGAAGACUCCUUGACACGAGUAUAAAAUGUCUACAAAUUCAAGUUGAAGAAUCCUUGAUACGAGCAUAAACUAUCUUAGUUCAAUUGAAAAACUCUUGAAUAUGAGUAUAAACUAUUCACAAAUUUGAAUCCAAGAACUCCUUGAUAUGAGUAUAAACUAUCUAAUAAUUCAAAACUGUCGAGACUCGUUCAUUUCCACGACAAGUCGUCCAUGAACAAGUCUCGAGGGGGCAUUUGUAGGCACACGAAUUUUAAAAGAAAUAAAAAUAUUUUAUUAAUUUUAUAUCUUUGUUUAUUUUGGAAUCUUAUGAAAUCCAAGAUUAAAUAUGAUAUAUUAUUAAUAAAGAUCUUACCAUAUUUCAAAGAUAGAGAUCAAUUUCUUUGGCAGCAAGUCAAAUCUAAUAUUGAUAUAUAUCAAUAUUCAAGAGCCAAUAGGAUCGUGCCACGUCAGCCCUAAGCCCAUAAUCAUGUGGGCUCUGGCCCAAAGCUUGACUCUUCCUACAACUAUAAAUAGGGGUCCUCAUAUCAGUUCUAAACACACACAAAUCAUUUGAGAGCUCAAGCAUUGAAGGAGUAAUUCACUACAACGAAGUCAUCUCCAACAAUCAAGGCAUUCUUUGUGGAAGCAACCCAAAAGCUCAAGUCAAAUCCAACGCUCGAUCCAGAAAUAAGGCGUAGGCCCUCUGCAUCAACGUUAUAAAGCCCAAAGCUCAAGGUUCAAGGCGUUCUACAAGGAAGUCAACACGUUCUUCAUCAAAUUCAUCAAAGUCAACGUUUAAUUCAGAAAUAAGGUGGAAGUCCUCUGGAUUGACGUCAUCAAAUACAAAUUCAAGUUCAAGUCAUCAAAUCAAAUCCAAGGAGAUCAAGAAGGCGAACUUCCCUCCAAAGAUUUCAAGAAACAUAUCAAAUUCAAAUUCAAGUUCAAGUCAUCAAAU